UGACUGUCUGCUUAGAACGGCUGUGUCCCU
Molecule: non-coding RNA, 30 nt
Filed under: Mus musculus (house mouse)
Lineage: Eukaryota; Metazoa; Chordata; Mammalia; Rodentia; Muridae
Source: RNAcentral